AUAGUACUCCCUCCGUCUCAAAAUNNNNGUCUUAGGUUUGUCUAGAAAUAGAUGUAUCUAAAUACUAUAACAUGGCUAGAUACAUUCAUAUUUAGACAAAUCUAAGACAAGAAUUUUGGGACGGAUAGAGUAUUAA
Molecule: non-coding RNA, 136 nt
Organism: Hordeum vulgare subsp. vulgare (domesticated barley)
Lineage: Eukaryota; Viridiplantae; Streptophyta; Magnoliopsida; Poales; Poaceae
Source: Rfam